RNAcentral lists this ribosomal RNA (82 nucleotides) under Jaculus jaculus (lesser Egyptian jerboa). The record is from RNAcentral. Lineage: Eukaryota; Metazoa; Chordata; Mammalia; Rodentia; Dipodidae.
UCCAGUGUUACACCAUUCUGAACAUGCCCAAUCUCAUCAGAUCUUGGUAGCUACACAGGGUCAGGCCUGGUUAGUAUGGGAU